AAAUAGACGCAUAAAUAGAUAUUGAAUAUAACAGUUUGUAGAACCUCGUCACUUUAAAAUGGUUCUUUUGUAUUUUAUCCUAUUUGCUGGACUCAUUGAGGCUCGCAUUGUGAGGACACCGCUGGGCGAUGUCAUCGGAUCGGUGCAGACAUCCCGUGCGGGGAGAAAGUAUUACUCUUUUAUGAAGAUACCGUAUGCCAAACCUCCUGUUGGAAAUCUGCGCUUCAGGAAUCCUGAGCCAAGAGGCGCUUGGUAUGGUCUACGAGAUGGGAGGGAGAGGCCGCCAUUUUGCUCACAGUUAAUAAUUUUCUCACCAAGAAUACCAAAAUAUGUAAUGGGUGAAGAAGAUUGCCUCUAUCUCAACAUAUUUUCUCUCAGUCACAAACAAGGAAUGAAGAUGUCCGUGAUGGUGUAUUUUGUUGGGGACAAUUUUCGAUUUGGAAUGGCAAACGAGCCAGGCCUGGGAAAUUAUCUCAUUGAUGAAGAAGUGAUCCUCGUUGUGGUGCAGCACAGGUUGGGCGCACUCGGUUUUCUCAGUCUUGAAGAUGAUAUAAUCCCCGGCAACUUCGGUCUCAAGGACCAAGCCCUCGCACUCGACUGGAUCAAACAGUACAUCAAGUAUUUCGGGGGGAAUCCAAACAGUAUUACAGUCUUUGGCGAUGGGUCUGGAGGAGCGAGCGCACAUUUUCUAGCUGUUUCACACAUGACAAAGGACAUUGUAAAAGCCGUCAUAUCUCAGGGGGGAGUUGCCAAUGAUAUCUGGGCCUUGGCGAAACCAGGGAAGGCAAAGGAGACAGCAGAAAAAGCCCUCCUGAUGCUCGGUUGCUCUGGUGCAUCAUACAAAAUUCUUAGCUGUUUAAGGGAUAAAAAUGCCUCUGAAAUUAUGAAGACUGAAUAUGAACUCAUCUAUUGGGACAUGGAACCCAAUGUGGUCUUCCAGCCGGUAGUGGAGAAAUAUAAAGCUGGCUCCUUCCUCUAUGAGAAUCCUUUGAAUUCCAAUACCAGCUUUCCUUGGUUGGUCGGGUUUACAUCGGAUGAGGGCCAAUAUAAGAUUUAUUCGAUGGAGAGCCAACGCUACGAUGAGUUUAAGCCAUUUUUGAACAAUUUAGAUUCUUUUAUAAAAAAGAUGUUCUACCCAGCAAAUGAAUCGCAGAAACUCGACGAGACUGUGAGGAUGAUCCGACAACGAUAUUUUCCAAAAAUCAAUGAUAAACAGAAAAUGCUAACAGGAUUGAAAGAUUUUUAUGGUUUCUUGAAUUAUGUUGUACCAACAUUCCAAGCACUGAGGAGACAUGUUGGUCAGAGCUACCUUUAUGUGUUUGAUUUCAGAUUCACAUCCUCACCACACUCUGCUUCGCCAAGAUAUGGAUUCAAGGGGGCACCCCAUGCUGAGGAAACGGUAGCCCUGUUCGACUGGACGGAUCCGCUCGAUAUGAGAGAAGAACAAAAAGUGUCACGUGAGGUGACAAAAAUGUGGGCCAACUUUGCAAAAUAUCAGAAACCUACAAUAGAGCUAACGCUGCAGUGGCCACAGUUUAUAAACGAAAAGUACUUGCUUAUCAGAGAAAACAUCACUGCUGAGAAAUUCUAUAGGAAAAUUUGGCCCCUUCAGCCUUUGAAACUAACCCAGCAAUUACCAGUCUGUCCACUAAAUUGUUGUUAGUAGUUCGUUUGAGGUAGGAUCUUCAGUGAUAGUGUCAAACUUCUCUUUGUCAUCUAGCCCUGAGGGUAGCAGUAUAAAAUGCCGAAAGCCAGAUGAACUCAAAAAAGUCCACUUCAUCAUGACUUAUGAAGAACCUCAAAAAAUUCUAAUUUAUAAAAUUAUUAAGCAGAGUUUCUAGAUUAUACAAAUGUAUGGGGAUUCUUGUUUCAAGUGGCCAUUAAUAAUUUUGGUAGAUUUUAAUUUUAUGAAAGAGCAUUGAAAAAUUACUUUAU
This is an RNA transcript of Cimex lectularius (bed bug), 1935 nucleotides long. It is a transcript of the gene named liver carboxylesterase-like, with no coding region annotated. The record is from RefSeq and is a predicted model, not a curated record. The transcript has 10 exons. NCBI's taxonomy places the organism in Eukaryota, Metazoa, Arthropoda, Insecta, Hemiptera, Cimicidae.